AACGCACAUUGCACCCUCUGGUACUCCAGGGGGUAUGCCUGUCCGAGCGUCAUUGCAACCUUCAAGCACGGCUUGUGUAUUGGGCGUCGUCCCCUGUGGACGAGCCUGAAAGGCAGUAACAGCGCCCGAAACAGUGCCUGAGCGUAUGGGGAUCUUCUCCGCUCAACAAGGCCUGUUCGGCGCUGGUGAGACCGAUCUUUUUACCGGUUGACCUCGGAUCAGGUAGGGAUACCCGCUGAACUUAA
RNAcentral lists this unclassified non-coding RNA (245 nucleotides) under uncultured fungus. Its description in RNAcentral is "partial contains 5.8S ribosomal RNA, internal transcribed spacer 2, and large subunit ribosomal RNA". RNAcentral also lists the same sequence under 1 other name. The record is from RNAcentral. Lineage: Eukaryota; Fungi.